CCUACGGGAGGCAGCAGUGAGGAAUAUUGGUCAAUGGGCGCUAGCCUGAACCAGCCACGUAGCGUGAAGGAUGACUGCCCUAUGGGUUGUAAACUUCUUUUAUAUGGGAAUAAAGUGCAGUAUGUAUACUGCUUUGCAUGUACCUUAUGAAUAAGGAUCGGCGAACUCCGUGCCAGCAGCCGCGGUAAUACGGAGGCUCCGACCGUUAUCCGGAUUUAUUGGGUUUAAAGGGAGCGUAGGCGGGUUGGUAAGUCAGUUGUGAAAGUUUGCGGUGCAACCGUAAAAUUGCAGUUGAUACUGGCAUCCUUGAGUACAGUAGAGGUAGGCGGAAUUCGUGGUGUAGCGGUGAAAUGCGUAGAUAUCACGAAGAACGCCGAUUGCGAAGGCAGCCUGCUGGACUGUAACUGACGCUGAUGCACGAAAGUGUGGGUAGCAAACAGGAUUAGAUACCCUAGUAGUC
RNAcentral lists this ribosomal RNA (460 nucleotides) under uncultured bacterium. RNAcentral describes it as "partial 16S ribosomal RNA". It matches the Rfam family "Bacterial small subunit ribosomal RNA", at positions 338 to 795 of the family's 1533-position model. The record is from RNAcentral.